Neopelma chrysocephalum (saffron-crested tyrant-manakin) is the source of this 287-nucleotide long non-coding RNA. RefSeq lists it as uncharacterized. The record is from RefSeq and is a predicted model, not a curated record. NCBI's taxonomy places the organism in Eukaryota, Metazoa, Chordata, Aves, Passeriformes, Pipridae. The transcript has 3 exons.
UGAAAAACAAACCCAAAGCUUUUUAAAGACUCACCACAGGCAGGAAAGACCAGAAGAGCAGUUUCUGACCCCUGGGAACCCUCAGUUGUCCCUGUCACAAAGCCAAGGUGUGAAAAACCACAAAAUGGGAGGAAAUUAAAAGCAUUCCUGAUAUUAUCAACACAUGGAUUAUAUUUAGCACACAAAGCCCUUCGGAGGCCGCGGUGACAACAUCCAACUGUCCAGGAAUCAGAGCCCAGGGGAGCUGCUGGCUCUGCCUCAGGAGCAGCACCAACCUGCACAUGAAG